This 375-nucleotide ribosomal RNA is filed under the name uncultured organism. RNAcentral describes it as "partial 16S ribosomal RNA". It matches the Rfam family "Bacterial small subunit ribosomal RNA", at positions 525 to 896 of the family's 1533-position model. The record is from RNAcentral.
GGGAGGGGGGCAAGCGUUAUCGGAUUUACUGGGCGUAAAGCGCACGUAGGUGGCAUGGGUAAGUCAAAGGGUGAAAGCCCUCGGCUCAACCGAGGAAUUGCCUUUGAAACUGCUUUGCUUGAGUCCGGGAGGGGGGAGCGGAAUUCCCAGUGUAGCGGUGAAAUGCGUAGAUACUGGGAGGAACACCGGUGGCGAAGGCGGCUCCCUGGACCGGUACUGACACUGAGGUGCGAAAGCGUGGGUAGCAAACAGGAUUAGAUACCCUGGUAGUCCACGCCGUAAACGAUGGGCACUAGGUGCAGCGGGUGUCGACCCCUGCUGUGCCGUAGUUAACGCAUUAAGUGCCCCGCCUGGGGAGUACGGUCGCAAAGGCUG